UAGGGUGGCCAACUGCCCCCAAUUUUCCUGGGACUGAGGAGUUUCCCAGGGUGCUAGACUUUCAGUGCUAAAACCGGGACAGUCUUGAGCAAAUUGGAACAGUUGGUCACCUUUGGUGAGA
Molecule: microRNA precursor, 121 nt
Filed under: Marmota monax (woodchuck)
Lineage: Eukaryota; Metazoa; Chordata; Mammalia; Rodentia; Sciuridae
Source: RNAcentral